RNAcentral lists this transfer RNA (77 nucleotides) under Segatella copri. RNAcentral's name for it is "tRNA-Gly". It matches the Rfam family "tRNA". Rfam says of the family: Transfer RNA (tRNA) molecules are approximately 80 nucleotides in length. Lineage: Bacteria; Pseudomonadati; Bacteroidota; Bacteroidia; Bacteroidales; Prevotellaceae. The record is from RNAcentral.
GUGGCGUUGGUGUUUAACGGUCAGCAUAUCGGCCUUCCAAGCCGAGGGUGCCGGUUCGAAUCCGGUACGCCACUCCA